RNAcentral lists this small nucleolar RNA (96 nucleotides) under Vitis vinifera (wine grape). Its description in RNAcentral is "Small nucleolar RNA snoR31/Z110/Z27". It matches the Rfam family "Small nucleolar RNA snoR31/Z110/Z27". From Rfam's summary of the family: This family contains several related snoRNAs including R31, Z27 and Z110. Family members belong to the C/D class of snoRNAs which contain the C (UGAUGA) and D (CUGA) box motifs. RNAcentral also lists the same sequence under 1 other name. Lineage: Eukaryota; Viridiplantae; Streptophyta; Magnoliopsida; Vitales; Vitaceae. The record is from Rfam by way of RNAcentral.
AUGAGGAAGAUGAUGAAACCAGAAAAUCUUAGGACACCUUCUGACGCAGUGAAAGAUUGCUGUGUAUGAGAAAGAUUUUCAGUUUCUGAUGCUUAU